Molecule: ribosomal RNA, 465 nt
Filed under: uncultured bacterium
Lineage: Bacteria
Description: partial 16S ribosomal RNA
Rfam family: Bacterial small subunit ribosomal RNA
Source: RNAcentral
GAUGAACGCUGGCGGCGUGCUUAACACAUGCAAGUCGAACGAUGAAGCCCAGCUUGCUGGGUGGAUUAGUGGCGAACGGGUGAGUAACACGUGAGUAACCUGCCCUUAACUCUGGGAUAAGCCUGGGAAACUGGGUCUAAUACCGGAUAGGAGCGUCCACCGCAUGGUGGGUGUUGGAAAGAUUUAUCGGUUUUGGAUGGACUCGCGGCCUAUCAGCUUGUUGGUGAGGUAAUGGCUCACCAAGGCGACGACGGGUAGCCGGCCUGAGAGGGUGACCGGCCACACGGGGACUGAGACACGGCCCAGACUCCUACGGGAGGCAGCAGUGGGGAAUAUUGCACAAUGGGCGAAAGCCUGAUGCAGCGACGCCGAGUGAGGGAUGACGGCCUUCGGGUGGUAAACCUCUUUCAGUAGGGAAGAAGCGAAAGUGACGGUACCUGCAGAAGAAGCACCGGCUAACUACGU